CUUGGCAGUGUUGAAAGAUGGCUGUGUUGACACUGAGCCGCCAAGGAGCCUAGUUGAUUAUGUCAAUGGAUUCAGACAUCGUUUGUUUGUUGCGGGUAGUAUGGCACAGGAAAAGUUGUGCGUGUCUCAAGCUGCUCCUUGUUUUGAUCGAGCGUUCAUGCUCCAAGUAGAUGCCAGCCAGGUGGGAGCAGGUUCCGUCUUGCUCCAGGGAGACAACCAGGGGGUGUCCUCUUGAGUAGCAGUAUUUGUUGACGGCCCCUGCCUCACUACUGAGAUGUCAGUGUGGAUUUGCCAUUUAUGAAAGAAGGAGCGGGAGAAGAUGCCUGAUGCAGAGCACCUGAUGCAGAGCACCUGAUGCUGGCGCGCCCUGAGCAUAAAAGCCCCAAUCAAACGUUGCUCUGGUCUCUCUCUCCUUCACCUGGACUCAACCCUGUCAGAACCUGCCGGGCUGACUUUGUUUGGCUUUUCUUUAGUUUUCAGUCAAAACACAUCACACUUCAUCAUGCUCACACAUCCACAUCUACAUUACUGAUGUUACUGACUGACAAACUCCACAUGUGUAGUUAUUUCUGUACUUCCUUAAUUUAUUUAUAAUAAAUAUCUUUAAUUUACAAUCAAUCACUGCAUCCUUUCCCGUAUUUGUCAUGGCCUAGGAGCCAGGCUAUG
Sebastes umbrosus (honeycomb rockfish) is the source of this 666-nucleotide long non-coding RNA. RefSeq lists it as uncharacterized. The record is from RefSeq and is a predicted model, not a curated record. NCBI's taxonomy places the organism in Eukaryota, Metazoa, Chordata, Actinopteri, Perciformes, Sebastidae. The transcript is spliced from 3 exons.